GGGGAAUUUUGGACAAUGGGGGCAACCCUGAUCCAGCCAUGCCGCGUGAGUGAAGAAGGCCUUCGGGUUGUAAAGCUCUUUCGGCCGGGAAGAAAUCGUGCAGGCUAAUACCCUGUAUGGAUGACGGUACCGGUAUAAGAAGCACCGGCUAACUACGUGCCAGCAGCCGCGGUAAUACGAAGGGUGCAAGCGUUACUCGGAAUUACUGGGCGUAAAGCGUGCGUAGGUGGUGGUUUAAGUCCGUUGUGAAAGCCCUGGGCUCAACCUGGGAACUGCGCUUGUGACUGCAAGACUAGAGUACGGCAGAGGGGGGUGGAAUUCCACGUGUAGCAGUGAAAUGCGUAGAGAUGUGGAGGAACACCAAUGGCGAAGGCAGCCCCCUGGGUCGAUACUGACGCUCAUGCACGAAAGCGUGGGGAGCAAACA
Molecule: ribosomal RNA, 426 nt
Filed under: uncultured Azovibrio sp.
Lineage: Bacteria; Pseudomonadati; Pseudomonadota; Betaproteobacteria; Rhodocyclales; Rhodocyclaceae
Description: bacterial SSU rRNA
Rfam family: Bacterial small subunit ribosomal RNA
Source: RNAcentral